Long non-coding RNA from Zalophus californianus (California sea lion), 424 nucleotides. RefSeq lists it as uncharacterized. NCBI's taxonomy places the organism in Eukaryota, Metazoa, Chordata, Mammalia, Carnivora, Otariidae. The record is from RefSeq and is a predicted model, not a curated record. The transcript is spliced from 3 exons.
CAGACAUUUCAGACACCAAAAUGGAGGAACAAAUCAGGCAAAAGGGUUGAAAUUUUUAGAAAUAAAGAAUACUGUCUAUUUCAAAAGGAAAAGAGAGAAAAUGUGUAGGAAACAUGAACCGGGGACUGAGAUGCUGGAGAGAAGGGAGGCAAUCAACAGGACGGUGACGAAGGAAGGCUCCAGGCGACAGCCGCUAAGCAAGCCUGAGGAGCACCUGACCUGGAUGAUCUUUUGAUGUGAUCUUUAGGGAUGUAGAAGUAUUUUCUUAAAGUAAGAGAAUGGGAUGUGCGGAGGGUUCCUCUGCUCCCAGGCUGCAGACAUACAAAAGUUGGGAGGAUUCAUCACAGGCAGACCUGCACUAGAAGAAAUUUUAAAGUUCGCUCUUCGGACCGAAGGAAAAUGAUGGAAAUCUAAAUCCACACAA